This 74-nucleotide transfer RNA is filed under the name Deltaproteobacteria bacterium. RNAcentral's name for it is "tRNA-Met". It matches the Rfam family "tRNA". From Rfam's summary of the family: Transfer RNA (tRNA) molecules are approximately 80 nucleotides in length. Their secondary structure includes four short double-helical elements and three loops (D, anti-codon, and T loops). Lineage: Bacteria; Pseudomonadati; Myxococcota; Myxococcia. The record is from RNAcentral. RNAcentral also lists the same sequence under 1 other name.
UGCGGGGUGGAGCAGUCCGGUAGCUCGUCGGGCUCAUAACCCGAAGGUCGUCAGUUCAAAUCUGGCCCCCGCAU